Molecule: long non-coding RNA, 1063 nt
Filed under: Panicum hallii
Lineage: Eukaryota; Viridiplantae; Streptophyta; Magnoliopsida; Poales; Poaceae
Description: long non-coding RNA (PHAL_LNC000841)
Source: RNAcentral
CGAAGAAUCGAUUUCUACCAGCACUCCAUCAUGGAACCGAACCAAGGCCUCGACGGCAAAUUAUAUAGGCAAAUAAAGCAAUCUCAUUCGGUAACAGGGCAGAUCACACACGCAGGCAGAGAUGUGAGAAGAGAUUACACACACUUCGGUAUCAACUGGAUCGAGGGUACAUGCAGGGGAAACCAGCUCCUGCAGCUGCAAGGAAUAAAAUCACUACAUAGGUGGUUACAACAAGCUCUUUCUUCCUCGAUCCGGAGCUGAAGCCGUUCCUGUACAACGCUGGAAGCACGGGCAAGAGCUCUAGAAUCCUCUCUAUUUCUAGCUGACGAAGAUGAUGGAGGGGUCACAGCAGCACUCGUCGAUCAGGCAGCAGCAGCAAAGCGCGGCCAGGCUGCGAACACAAACACAGGCACAACAAAAGUGAGCUCGCUUGCAGACUUGUGCCUACACCCGAUAGCUAAAACAUGCUAUAUAUAGCGCAUGAACAAGAACAAGGAGUUGAUUGGGCGUGCAUACCAGCCUUCGAGGAAGCUCGGCUGCCUCCUCGGCGGCGGCGCGGCGUACUGCGGCGGCGCCAUCACCGGCGGGCCCUGGUACGGCCCCUGGUAGUAGCCUUUUGCCAUGCGCAAACCAAGAAAGAAACAUCCCGUCAGAACCACACCUAGCUAUUCUCCACAAAUCAAGAGAUUGAGCAGCUGCGGAUAUUACCUUGUGCCGGGUAGGGGUAGGCGUACUUGGGAUCGCUCAUCUUCUUCCUCUGUUCCUCCUCCGGGGAGGCUUCAAUUGCCUAGCUCCCGAAAGGUGGAAGAAGCAAGCCGAGGCCGAGCAGCUGCUGGAAGUUAGAAACAGAAGGUGACGCGACGACGCGGACGGCAGGCGGCAGCGGGGAAUGGAGCAGGUGGUGGCGCCUGCGACAGGGGGGCGUGGCUCACUUUAUAGGCCGACGGCGCGCGAGCCGUGUCGCGGCGAGAGGACGUGGCGGCGCGACGUGUCGGCCUCGCGCUUGUGGCCGGCGGGAGGGGGUUGGAACGGGUGGAAGCAUCUGGAACGCCCGCGGGCGAGG